UUCGCCAAUGAUUGAGCAUAUACCUAGUAAUUUUUUUUAUUUUUUUGGGAAUGUUUAUUUGUCGCCCGAGAGUAAAUCAAGACUCUCAUCACUUGAUUUUUUCCCUUAUUGGAUUUGCAUCGAACGCUCCUGGAUCAUCGUCUUCCUUGGGCUAGCACUCCCUCGCACAGGCAUAGUCAGCCCCACAGCCACCUAGACGAGCCACCGCCCUGCCGCGGGCGCAGUAGGGUCUCGCCAAAGCUUCGCACCAGCGGACUGCCAGCUCGGAGCUCCAGUGAGAACCUAUCGUGACCAUGGCAACCUCCUCUACACCCUACCUCACCGCCGUCCCCACCCCCGGUGAGGUCGCCGUCGUAGCCCCCACCCUGCUGACUCCGCCCUAGGGAUGGCAAUCAGGUUGGUCUGGACCCGAGACCCGCGGGUUUCAGACCCAAUGGGGGCGGGGGUAGGUCCGAAAUCCCCUCGCGGGUCUCGGGUUCAGGGACCCGAAAUAGGGCGGGUGCGGGGCCGGGUUAUAGAAUCCCCCGCGGGGGCCCACGGAGCCUCGAAUUUGGCCCAUGAAGCAUGAAGCGGUCCAGAGGUCCAGACUCACCCGCUCCCCCUUUUCCUCUAUCUCUCACCUGCUCCCCUUCUCCCCCAUCUGCAGACUAUGGCUGCUGGCCUCCAGCCCUCCACCCCAUCCCUACUCCCCAGCGGUGGUGGCGACCGGCGCGCCCCGGCGCCCCCGCGCGGC
Molecule: long non-coding RNA, 733 nt
Filed under: Setaria viridis
Lineage: Eukaryota; Viridiplantae; Streptophyta; Magnoliopsida; Poales; Poaceae
Description: long non-coding RNA (SVIR_LNC008295)
Source: RNAcentral